GUUGGUGAUUAGCGGAGCGGGUCCACCCGGAACCAUGCCGAACCCGGAAGUUAAGCGCUUCAGCGCCGAUGGUACUGCGAUUCAGUUCGUGGGAGAGUAGGUCGUUGCCAACC
Ribosomal RNA from Jonquetella anthropi DSM 22815, 113 nucleotides. NCBI's taxonomy places the organism in Bacteria, Thermotogati, Synergistota, Synergistia, Synergistales, Dethiosulfovibrionaceae. The record is from Rfam.